ACCUGAACAAUUCAUCUAACUCUCACUUUUCAAAACACUGUCUUUGUCUUUUUUCAUCAGGGUGUUACCUUCGUCUUUCUUAAAGACGUUCUUGUGACUUCUCUGCAUUGAUUUUUAGCUUAUAAUAGAACACACUUUCCCUUGUCCACCACAUCAGAUAAUGCCUCUGCUGAUUACACCUUUAAAUUAUUCUAUAACAAUGUAUAUGAUAUUAUUUCAUCCUAGGGUUCUCAGUUCUUCCAUGUCUGCUACACUUCAUAAAAUCCUUCUCCAUCCUACCUGUCCCUAAACUACUGGUCAAAUGGGUAGAUGCAGAGGCAUUUACCUUGGUGCUGUAGUUCAAAAGCUCAGCAUGCAUGUCUUAAAUAGGCUGCAAACUAUGGGAACGUUCAGUUUCUCUUUUGACCCUUGUAAAUUUCAUUCCUUUUCUCUAAUUUUGGAAUAAAAUUGAUCUAAAUAUAUGUAAAAAUCCCGAACUGGACUGUUUUUGUCUUGUUUUGGGCAGAAGGAUAAAGUUUUGCUCAUCAUAGGGAAAAGUAAAGGCAGUUCUUCUGAUGAUUUGAACUGUUUACCAUUAAAAAUUUAAGGAAAAUCCUUUCAGGAAACAGGUGUUGCUGCCUUAUAUAGUAAAGGGGAAUUUGUUUGCUCAUCUGCCUUUGCAAGGCAAAUUUAAGUGGUGUUACUUGUCUUUUAGCAGCACGACUGUCAUUUCUUCAUUCCUAUGUUGUACAAAAAUUUUGAUUUUUUUUCCCAUGCUUGGUGCAAUUUCUUUUUUCCCUCAAAUCAACUAUCAUGAAUCAUAAAAUACUUUGAGAAAAAUUUUUUGCUAAUCAGCCGAUGGAGUUGAGCAAAUAUAUACCCUCUGACUUCUUCCCUUCAGGUCAGGAUUGUAUUUGGAUUAUAGGAACAGCUCCUCAUUCCUGCUCUAAGGAUAUCUCUGCUCACACUGCAGAGGUGAGCCUGUGCUUCAGUUGACUCUCCCUGUAGAGUUCAGGAAAAAUUUGAGUCAGAGGCAGAAACUGGUUUCUAACUAGAAAGAAAUAAAAUGAAUUAUGUUUUCUAUUUCUCUUCCAAGGAGGACAAUAUUUUCUUGUGACAUCCCUCUGGAACUGUGUGAAUUGAGAUGGGACAGGACAUUGCUCUGUAUUAAAUCAAAUAACUGUUUGCCUGAGCAAAUCAAUCUAUGAAGCAUCUCUAAAGCAGUUUACUAGGCCCUGAUCCUAUACUGUUGAUUGAUUUCAGUGAAAGAUGUGAAGCUUAAGGACAUGCUUCUAUGUGGAGUUACUUUAGGGAAGAAAUAAAUCUGUUGGAUUGUUGGAUAACUCCAAGUGCAGACUUACAGGAUAAAGCUUUUGAUGGUUUGGAUCCAAACAGCUAAAUAGAGGUGUUGGUAGCAGGUUUCCUGGUGGAUGUAAUAAAAUCUAUUUACCCAGUCACAACCUUUUGUUUUGAAUUUGGAGAGAGAACAGGUCCAAAAAAAAGGUAACAGCCUGUAAAAUGGGCAUAGUUUAUCUUUCCACAGAGGCAUUGAUAGGUGAACACCCAGCAUUUCAAAAAUAUUUUGCUUUUAGAUUUAAAAGUGGUUUUCACCCCCAUUUUAUAGUUGAAGAAACUGAGGUAUGCUGAAUUUUAGUAACUGGUUGAUAUCAGAAACCUAGAAAAGGGCAGAUUCAAAAAUAACAGCUGGGUCUGGAGAGCAGUAACCUAGUCACUGAAUAAUGUUGUCUUGGAGCUAAAAGCCUGGAGGAAAAAGCUGAAAUGUCUUUCUUCUCAACUCUGUCUCUACCCAUGUCUGCAUAUCAGAGUCACUGAGCUGGAAAAAUAUGAAUGUUGCAGUACAGCAUGAAUGAACUAAGCUGUCUCCUGAGCAGUGAGUGCAUUUCCCAGCUGGGUAGGACAUUGCAAAGCUUUUAGGAGUUCCCAGCACCAUUUCACUGAAGCAAGAUCCUCUUGAGGACGCCCCGGUUGAAUGUUGCUUUUAUUUUUCUUUUUCUGUGUCUGAGGGACAUAACAAUCUCCUGUUUCUAGCACAGCCUUUGCCAGAGCCUGUGUCAGGAUGCAUAAUCAGUGGUCUCUGGUGCAACAGGAGGUGUUUUCAGAGCUUCAAGAGCUCUGACUGCAAGUGAGAAGGGUAUUCAACAACUUACGUGGUUAUGUCUUUAUUAGCUGAACAGGAACAUUUGCUAAAGCCAAUAGGAAAGAAAAAAUUGCAACAAAGGGCAGAUAAAAUCAAUGCCAGUGUGAUGAGACUGCUGCUGUUUCCACAUCAUACUGGUCCUUGCUUUGCUACUUCAAAAAUAAAAAAAAACCACCAAAACUGAAACAGAGCCACCCAGCACACUAAACCCACACUCCCUGAUCCCUCUGCAGUGCUGACAUUUCGAACUAACUCAGCUUUGCACCAAGUAAUCAGUUUGUCUCCUGCCCCUAGGCUCCAGAGGAGGAUACUGUGAACCUUGCUCUGCUUUGAGAUGGCUCCCAGCUUCUACUCCAGCUGCAUUUUGACAUGAAAUUGAGAUGGUCAGAUUGCCUUCUGGUGCCUGUCUGGGCCAGUAACCACUGCUGGUGGCUGGUUUCUUUGGCAAUAUUCAGAGGUGAUGUGCAAAGGGAAAGGAGUUAACUGUUUGACAAGGGACAGCUUUAUUUACAGACUGCUGCCAGGCUAAAAUCAGUUGAACUGCAUGAAAUGAUGUGCACUGGUUUGUAAAAAGAGUUGGAAAGCCGUGACACUGAUUGGCAGUGAAAACCCUAUAAAGCAGCACACAUCAAUGGAGUAAUUGACUGCUUCCCUCACGUAAAUUGUUUUCCUCCUUGCCAUACUCUUUGUGCACUUGAGCAAGCUGUGCUUCAUACUGAUGGAACAUAGCAAACUUAAAUAAUUUUCUAAAAGCUGUGUAAGACACAGCUUGGGUGAGAGGGUCUUUUAAGAUAUUAUUUGUAAUACUGAUAAUAAUUUAGUGAAAAAGACACUGUCUCUUAAACUGUACAAGGAGAAAGACUUCCCUUACAGGAAUUCAAUCAAGCAAGAGGGCAGGACAAUGCUGACUUUGCAGAUCUAAUGCACCCAUCUCCUUGUAUCCAUCUGCUUGCUCCAGUCCCAGAGCUGCUGGGUAGCUUGCUCAGCAUCAGUUCCUUGAGUGUUGUUCAGUUGUUUCCAGGGAUCUGGCAUUUGAAUUUUGGAGAGGUCAAAGCUUUUUUGUUGAGCUCCUGCUUGCCUUGGUUGUUAAUAAUGAUUUUUCCAGCAAGUGUUGGCUUUGUUCCCCUUAUAGGGAGGAUCAGGUUUUCUUAAAAACCCAGCAGGAGUCUGUGCAACUUUUAUUUCUGAAGCAUGCAUACAUGCAGGGCACCUGCUGUGCAGCUGGGGCACUGCCCUCCAGCCAGGCAGAAUUAACCUGCACUGCAAGAUUAAAGGAUAACCUUGAGCUUGGCAAAGACCUCAGAAAAGCAGAAUUCUUCUCUCAGAACAACACCCUGCAAUAAGCAGAGAUAAGUCUGAGCCACAGCACCAAGUCUGGAGCCAAGCUGUUAUGAAGUUUGGCCUGCUCUGAGGGCUUGGCUGGUGAUGUUGAGACCUUGGAGCUUUAUGCUAAGUAAGAAUAAAGCAGUCUAUUGAAUAGCUGCUCACUCAUUCACUUCUGUCUGGACAUGUUCCAGAUGAGGUCUGAUGCUGUUGGAGGGAGCAAGAAAAUGGGCAAAGAGGGUUAACCAUGAACUCUACAUUGAUGACAUCAAGAUCCACAGCAGCUUUAAGGAUGAACCAACAAUCAAGAAGAAGAAAUGUGAUUAUUGAGGAAUAUGGCAAAACCUGGGGAAGUAAACUGCUCAGUGCUGAACAAAUGGAUGGAGAGUACGCAAAGUUACCUAGCAGCAUUUCCUGGAGACACAAAGUAUGGUCAACUGCAAAUCAACCAUAACUUCAAGAUAUUUGCAUACAGGAUGCCCAUUUUUGCAUGUCCAGUCUGUCUUCUGAGAACUAUGAAUGGAUGUUUUUGUUUUGUUUGUAAAGUUAAAGUACAAUUCCGGGUCACUUUUCUUGGAUUUCUCUUAAAGUCCGACCAAUACUUUCACUUGUGACAUAAGAGAUUAUCAGAAUAUUUUGCUUUCUAUAGAUAGACAUCCUCACUCACCAAGCAGGAACUCAAACUAAAUAGAAGGCAAAUGCAGAAAAAAAAAAUCAAAGUCUCUUUUAAGUUUUUGAUGAUCCUGAAUCAAGAAGUUAUGAUGUCUGUGAAGUAUUGCAUUCAAUUGUGUGUUUUGUGGUCACUGUACAGAGUUCUCCUCAAAGAGUUUCCAGAUAGCUUUUUCAUAUAGUUUUCUUAAUAUUUUCAAUUUUAUCCCCUUUCUUUCUCCAGUCUUUCAGAACUGAAGAGAAACAAAUCCCAAUUAUCUUCUUUCAUUAUCAGGGAUAUAACUUUUUCAUUGUGUUUCUUCCUAUACCUAAACUUGUUUAUGUUAUUUUUCUGUUAUGUUUGUAUUUCUCUCCUUUGCACUGCCUUGGUUCCCCAGAUCGUUAGCUCACUACUGAGUGCUCAAGCUAUUCCCCAAUUUCCCAAAUUGCACCAGGCAAACAACCUCUUUCUCCUCCUACAAAAUGCAGCUCCACAAACCCUCAUGAGUUUUUUCUCUUUGCUGAUGUUCUUUUCAUGCUCUACAGUAGAUGCCUUCUGUACCAGAGAAGAAUGGCAGUGCCCUUCAGCUGCAGAUAUGGCUAUUGGAGCCUUUCACAUAUAUCAACUAUGUAUCCUUACAAAUGUAUGACAUUUGUGACUUCUGUUGGGAUUAUUUACUAUACUAGCUUAAUCAAACAAUUUAUCAAAUUAUUUCCACCAACUGUUAGCACUUUUGUUAUCUGCUGUAAAAGCAACCACAGCUGACUUUGCGGGUGGAAGUGGGGGCGUUCUAUGAAUAAAAUAUCUUUCUUCAUGA
Motacilla alba alba is the source of this 4926-nucleotide long non-coding RNA. RefSeq lists it as uncharacterized. The record is from RefSeq and is a predicted model, not a curated record. Lineage: Eukaryota; Metazoa; Chordata; Aves; Passeriformes; Motacillidae. The transcript is spliced from 5 exons.